GCAAUGAGAGUUCAGUGGUAGAAUGCUUGCCUUCCAUGCAGGAGACCCAGGUUCAAUUCCUGGCCAAUGCA
Orycteropus afer afer is the source of this 71-nucleotide non-coding RNA. NCBI's taxonomy places the organism in Eukaryota, Metazoa, Chordata, Mammalia, Tubulidentata, Orycteropodidae. The record is from the annotation of a RefSeq genome assembly.